AACGAACGCUGGCGGCAUGCCUAACACAUGCAAGUCGAACGAAGCCUUCGGGCUUAGUGGCGCACGGGUGCGUAACACGUGGGAAUCUGCCCUUUGGUUCGGAAUAACAGUUAGAAAUGACUGCUAAUACCGGAUAAAUGACGUAAGUCCAAAGAUUUAUCGCCGAAGGAUGAGCCCGCGUAGGAUUAGGUAGUUGGUGGGGUAAUGGCCCACCAAGCCGACGAUCCUUAGCUGGUCUGAGAGGAUGAUCAGCCACACUGGGACUGAGACACGGCCCAGACUCCUACGGGAGGCAGCAGUGGGGAAUAUUGGACAAUGGGCGAAAGCCUGAUCCAGCAAUGCCGCGUGAGUGAUGAAGGCCUUAGGGUUGUAAAGCUCUUUUACCAGGGAUGAUAAUGACAGUACCUGGAGAAUAAGCUCCGGCUAACUCCGUG
Molecule: ribosomal RNA, 434 nt
Filed under: uncultured bacterium
Lineage: Bacteria
Description: bacterial SSU rRNA
Rfam family: Bacterial small subunit ribosomal RNA
Source: RNAcentral